Molecule: ribosomal RNA, 220 nt
Filed under: uncultured bacterium
Lineage: Bacteria
Description: partial 16S ribosomal RNA
Rfam family: Bacterial small subunit ribosomal RNA
Source: RNAcentral
UACGAAGGGGGCUAGCGUUGUUCGGAAUCACUGGGCGUAAAGCGCUCGUAGGCGGAUCUUUAAGUCAGAGGUGAAAUCCCAAGGCUCAACCUUGGAACUGCCUUUGAUACUGGGGAUCUCGAGUCCGGGAGAGGUGAGUGGAACUGCGAGUGUAGAGGUGAAAUUCGUAGAUAUUCGCAAGAACACCAGUGGCGAAGGCGGCUCACUGGCCCGGUACUGA